Molecule: ribosomal RNA, 193 nt
Filed under: Thalassiosira rotula
Lineage: Eukaryota; Bacillariophyta; Thalassiosirophyceae; Thalassiosirales; Thalassiosiraceae
Description: partial Bacterial small subunit ribosomal RNA
Rfam family: Bacterial small subunit ribosomal RNA
Source: RNAcentral
AUGGAGAGUUUGAUCCUGGCUCAGGACGAACGCUGGCGGCGGGCUUAACACAUGCAAGUCGAAGGAGAAGGUGACUGCUUGCAGUCACUGGAGACUGGCGGACGGGUGAGUAACGCGUAGGAAUCUGCCUAGUAGUGGGGGAUAGCUCGGGGAAACUCGAAUUAAUACCGCAUACGACCUACGGGUGAAAGGG